UACGUAGGAGGCAAGCGUUGUCUGGAAUCACUGGGCGUAAAGCGCGUGUAGGUGGUGGGACAAGUCUGCUGUGAAAGCGCCUGGCUUAACCGGGCGAGGUCGGCGGAAACUGUUCGACUCGAGGACGGUAGAGGGGGGUGGAAUUCCCGGUGUAGUGGUGAAAUGCGUAGAGAUCGGGAGGAACACCUGUGGCGAAGGCGGCCCCCUGGGCCGGCCCUGACACUGAGACGCGAAGGCGUGGGGAGCGAACAGG
RNAcentral lists this ribosomal RNA (253 nucleotides) under uncultured bacterium. RNAcentral describes it as "partial 16S ribosomal RNA". It matches the Rfam family "Bacterial small subunit ribosomal RNA", at positions 524 to 776 of the family's 1533-position model. The record is from RNAcentral.